GACGAACGCUGGCGGCGUGCUUAUCACAUGCAAGUCGAACGGAAAGGCCCUGCUUUUGUGGGGUGCUCGAGUGGCGAACGGGUGAGUAACACGUGAGUAACCUGCCCUUGACUUUGGGAUAACUUCAGGAAACUGGGGCUAAUACCGGAUAGGAGCUCCUGCUGCAUGGUGGGGGUUGGAAAGUUUCGGCGGUUGGGGAUGGACUCGCGGCUUAUCAGCUUGUUGGUGGGGUAGUGGCUUACCAAGGCUUUGACGGGUAGCCGGCCUGGGGGGGUGACCGGCCACAUUGGGACUGGGAUACGGCCCAGACUCCUACGGGAGGCAGCAGUGGGGAAUAUUGCACAAUGGGCGGAAGCCUGAUGCAGCAACGCCGCGUGCGGGAUGACGGCCUUCGGGUUGUAAACCGCUUUCGCCUGUGACGAAGCGUGAGUGACGGUAAUGGGUAAAGAAGCACCGGCUAACUACGUG
RNAcentral lists this ribosomal RNA (468 nucleotides) under uncultured bacterium. RNAcentral describes it as "partial 16S ribosomal RNA". It matches the Rfam family "Bacterial small subunit ribosomal RNA", at positions 28 to 507 of the family's 1533-position model. The record is from RNAcentral.